AUUGAACGCUGGCGGCAUGCCUAACACAUGCAAGUCGAACGGAGGUAGGGGCAACUCUACUUCAGUGGCGGACGGGUGAGGAAUGCGUCGGAAUCUACCCUAUGGUGGGGGAUAACACAGGGAAACUUGUGCUAAUACCGCAUAAUGUCGAGAGACCAAAGCAGGGGACCGCAAGGCCUUGCGCGAUAGGAUGAGCCGACGCCCGAUUAGCUAGUUGGUAGGGUAAAGGCCUACCAAGGCGACGAUCGGUAGCUGGUCUGAGAGGAUGAUCAGCCACACUGGGACUGAGACACGGCCCAGACUCCUACGGGAGGCAGCAGUGGGGAAUAUUGGACAAUGGGCGCAAGCCUGAUCCAGCAAUGCCGCGUGUGUGAAGAAGGCCUGCGGGUUGUAAAGCACUUUUGUUCGGGAAGAAAUCAUGCUGGUUAAUACCUGGUAUGGAUGACGGUACCGCAUAAGAAGCACCGGCUAACUACGUGCCAGCAGCCGCGG
Molecule: ribosomal RNA, 492 nt
Filed under: uncultured bacterium
Lineage: Bacteria
Description: bacterial SSU rRNA
Rfam family: Bacterial small subunit ribosomal RNA
Source: RNAcentral